GUUUAACAAUUGGAAAUUGAGAAGUUUAAAAUCUCUUUUUUUCUUCUGAGAUUUUCAAAUUUGGAGAUCUCAAAAACACAUCUCGAUAUCUAAGCCACCACCCUCGAAUCUCAUCAUCGCCGCUGCCAUUGGCACUCAAGAUCUUGCCAUCCUCUUCUUGAUGCUUGUUUCACCGGAGCUAUAUAUAGGCUACCACCCUUGCUUCAAGCAGUGUUCAUUGCCUUCUCAUCAUCGUUAACGGGAAGCCAUGUUGAGAGAUGACAUAUACUCUUGUUUUACCGGAGCACUAAGCGGUUGUCAUCGUCGGAGUUCUUCAUUAUCGUUGAUGGAGCCGAGAUCGAGAGAAAUCAUGUCUCAAUAAGAGAUUAUUCAACAAGGGCAAAAUCGUCAUUCGACAAGAAAAAGAGUGCCUAUUUCUAUAAACAUUUUGCAAUAGUGCCGUAUCUUAUAAGAUUUUUAU
Long non-coding RNA from Arabidopsis thaliana (thale cress), 460 nucleotides. RefSeq annotates it as other RNA. The record is from RefSeq. The transcript has a single exon. NCBI's taxonomy places the organism in Eukaryota, Viridiplantae, Streptophyta, Magnoliopsida, Brassicales, Brassicaceae.